AUUGAACGCUGGCGGCAGGCCUAACACAUGCAAGUCGAGCGGAUGAAGGGAGCUUGCUCCUGGAUUCAGCGGCGGACGGGUGAGUAAUGCCUAGGAAUCUGCCUGGUAGUGGGGGAUAACGUCCGGAAACGGGCGCUAAUACCGCAUACGUCCUGAGGGAGAAAGUGGGGGAUCUUCGGACCUCACGCUAUCAGAUGAGCCUAGGUCGGAUUAGCUAGUUGGUGGGGUAAAGGCCUACCAAGGCGACGAUCCGUAACUGGUCUGAGAGGAUGAUCAGUCACACUGGGACUGAGACACGGUCCAGACUCCUACGGGAGGCAGCAGUGGGGAAUAUUGGACAAUGGGCGAAAGCCUGAUCCAGCCAUGCCGCGUGUGUGAAGAAGGUCUUCGGAUUGUAAAGCACUUUAAGUUGGGGGGAAGGGCAGUAAGUUAAUACCUUGCUGUUUUGACGUUACCAACAGAAUAAGCACCGGCUAACUUCGUG
RNAcentral lists this ribosomal RNA (484 nucleotides) under uncultured bacterium. Its description in RNAcentral is "partial 16S ribosomal RNA". It matches the Rfam family "Bacterial small subunit ribosomal RNA", at positions 30 to 507 of the family's 1533-position model. The record is from RNAcentral.